AAAUUAACCUGGCAGUGGAAAUACCAUGAUCACUUGGAUGGUUUUGCUAGGGUGAGGCCUGUCUCUUGCACUCUGGGCAUGCUGACCCCUGUGAGUUUCCCCAAACAGAGGAGACUCAACUGCACAAUUUUGUGGUAAUUGGGGACUGCUUUCUUGAUUUUCCUCU
Alligator mississippiensis (American alligator) is the source of this 166-nucleotide small nuclear RNA. It matches the Rfam family "U1 spliceosomal RNA". Rfam says of the family: U1 is a small nuclear RNA (snRNA) component of the spliceosome (involved in pre-mRNA splicing). Its 5' end forms complementary base pairs with the 5' splice junction, thus defining the 5' donor site of an intron. NCBI's taxonomy places the organism in Eukaryota, Metazoa, Chordata, Crocodylia, Alligatoridae. The record is from Rfam.